This 73-nucleotide transfer RNA is filed under the name Stegodyphus mimosarum. It matches the Rfam family "tRNA". From Rfam's summary of the family: Transfer RNA (tRNA) molecules are approximately 80 nucleotides in length. Their secondary structure includes four short double-helical elements and three loops (D, anti-codon, and T loops). Further hydrogen bonds mediate the characteristic L-shaped molecular structure. tRNAs have two regions of fundamental functional importance: the anti-codon, which is responsible for specific mRNA codon recognition, and the 3' end, to which the tRNAs corresponding amino acid is attached (by aminoacyl-tRNA synthetases). tRNAs cope with the degeneracy of the genetic code in two manners: having more than one tRNA (with a specific anti-codon) for a particular amino acid; and 'wobble' base-pairing, i.e. permitting non-standard base-pairing at the 3rd anti-codon position. The record is from Rfam by way of RNAcentral. Lineage: Eukaryota; Metazoa; Arthropoda; Arachnida; Araneae; Eresidae.
GCCUUCGUGGUGUAGUGGUCAGCACGCUCGGCGUGCAUUCGAGAGGUCUGUAGUUCGAGUCCUGCCGAGGGCA